Molecule: ribosomal RNA, 1489 nt
Filed under: metagenome
Description: bacterial SSU rRNA
Rfam family: Bacterial small subunit ribosomal RNA
Source: RNAcentral
AGAGUUUGAUCUUGGCUCAGAUUGAACGCUGGCGGCAGGCUUAACACAUGCAAGUCGAGCGGUAGCAGGCCUUCGGGUGCUGACGAGCGGCGGACGGGUGAGGAAUGCAUAGGAAUCUGCCUAUUAGUGGGGGAUAACACGGGGAAACUCGUGCUAAUACCGCAUACGUCCUACGGGAGAAAGCGGGGGAUCUUUGGACCUCGCGCUAAUAGAUGAGCCUAUGCCGGAUUAGCUAGUUGGUAGGGUAAAGGCCUACCAAGGCGACGAUCCGUAGCUGGUCUGAGAGGAUGAUCAGCCACACUGGGACUGAGACACGGCCCAGACUCCUACGGGAGGCAGCAGUGGGGAAUAAUGGACAAUGGGCGCAAGCCUGAUCCAGCCAUGCCGCGUGUGUGAAGAAGGCCUUCGGGUUGUAAAGCACUUUAAGUGGGGAGGAAGGUUAGUGGUUUAAUACGCUACUAAAUUGACGUUACCCACAGAAUAAGCACCGGCUAACUCUGUGCCAGCAGCCGCGGUAAUACAGAGGGUGCAAGCGUUAAUCGGAAUUACUGGGCGUAAAGCGCGCGUAGGUGGUUUUGUAAGUUGAAUGUGAAAUCCCCGGGCUUAACCUGGGAAUGGCAUCCAAAACUGCACGACUAGAGUAUGGGAGAGGGAGGUAGAAUUCCAGGUGUAGCGGUGAAAUGCGUAGAGAUCUGGAUGAAUACCGGUGGCGAAGGCGGCCUCCUGGCCUAAUACUGACACUGAGGUGCGAAAGCGUGGGUAGCAAACAGGAUUAGAUACCCUGGUAGUCCACGCCGUAAACGAUGAGAACUAGCCGUUGGUCUCCUUGAGAGGUUAGUGGCGCAGCUAACGCGAUAAGUUCUCCGCCUGGGGAGUACGGCCGCAAGGUUAAAACUCAAAUUGACGGGGGCCCGCACAAGCGGUGGAGCAUGUGGUUUAAUUCGACGCAACGCGAAGAACCUUACCUGGUCUUGACAUCCACGGAAUCCUGCAGAGAUGUGGGAAUGCCUUCGGGAACCGUGAGACAGGUGCUGCAUGGCUGUCGUCAGCUCGUGUUGUGAAAUGUUGGGUUAAGUCCCGUAACGAGCGCAACCCUUGUCCUUAGUUGCCAGCGAGUAAUGUCGGGAACUCUAAGGAGACUGCCGGUGACAAACCGGAGGAAGGUGGGGACGACGUCAAGUCAUCAUGGCCCUUACGACCAGGGCUACACACGUGCUACAAUGGCCGGUACAGAGGGUUGCCAAGCCGCGAGGUGGAGCCAAUCCCGAAAAGCCGGUCGUAGUCCGGAUUGCAGUCUGCAACUCGACUGCAUGAAGUCGGAAUCGCUAGUAAUCGCAGAUCAGAAUGCUGCGGUGAAUACGUUCCCGGGCCUUGUACACACCGCCCGUCACACCAUGGGAGUGGGUUGCACCAGAAGUAGUUAGCUUAACCGCAAGGGGAGCGAUUACCACGGUGUGAUUCAUGACUGGGGUGAAGUCGUAACAAGGUA